This is a small nuclear RNA of Nycticebus coucang (slow loris), 158 nucleotides long. RefSeq annotates it as U1 spliceosomal RNA. The record is from RefSeq and is a predicted model, not a curated record. Lineage: Eukaryota; Metazoa; Chordata; Mammalia; Primates; Lorisidae. The transcript has a single exon.
CUACUUACCUGGCAGGGGAAAUACCAUGAUCACAAAGGUGGUUUUCCCAUAGCGAGGCGUGUGCAUUGUACUCCAGAUGUGCUGGCCCCUGUGAUUUCCCCAAACGUACUGUAUAAUUUGUGGUAGAGAAGCACUGGGGGGAAAAACAAGAGUUCGCU